Molecule: long non-coding RNA, 1158 nt
Filed under: Homo sapiens (human)
Lineage: Eukaryota; Metazoa; Chordata; Mammalia; Primates; Hominidae
Description: long non-coding RNA NONHSAT176202.1
Source: RNAcentral
UUCCGCAGCAGCACGGAGGACAUGGAGCGGGCCUUGUCAGAGUACCUGGCAGUCUUUGCCCGGUGCCUGGCCGGCUGUGAAGGGGCCCAUGAGCAGGUGGACUUCAAGGACUUCUACCCGGCCAUAGCAGAUCUCUUUGCAGAGUCCCUGCAGUGCAAGGUGGACUGUGAGGCCAAUUUGACCCCCAAUGUGGGUGGCUACUUCGUGGACAAGUUCGUGGCCACCAUGUACCACUACCUGCAGUUUGCCUACUAUAAGUUGAAUGAUGUGCGCCAGGCUGCCCGCAGCGCCGCCAGCUACAUGCUCUUCGACCCCAAGGACAGCGUCAUGCAGCAGAACCUGGUGUAUUACCGGUUCCACCGGGCUCGCUGGGGCCUGGAAGAGGAGGACUUCCAGCCCCGGGAGGAGGCCAUGCUCUACCACAACCAGACCGCCGAGCUGCGGGAGCUGCUGGAGUUCACCCACAUGUACCUGCAGUCAGAUGAUGAGAUGGAGCUGGAGGAGACAGAACCGCCCCUGGAGCCUGAGGAUGCCCUAUCUGACGCCGAGUUUGAGGGGGAGGGUGACUACGAGGAGGGCAUGUAUGCUGACUGGUGGCAGGAGCCGGAUGCCAAGGGUGACGAGGCCGAGGCUGAGCCAGAGCCUGAACUCGCAUGAGAAGGGGACACCCCACACCGCUCAAGCUUGGGAAGCCUGGUGCCGAUGGCCCCACCCUCACCAGCCUGGGCAGCAGCAAGAACUAUUUAUUAAAAACUUAAGAUGGGCCAGGUGCGGUGGCUCACACCUGUAAUCCCAGCAUUUUGGGAGGCCAAGGUGGGUGGAUCACUUGAGGCCAGGAGUUCAAGACCAGCCUGGCCAACAUGAUGAGACCUCCGUCUCUACUAAAAUACAUAAAUUAGCCGGGUGUGGUGGCAGGCGCCUGAAAUCCCAGCUACUCAAGAGGCUGAGGCAGGAGAAUCGCUUGAACCUGGGAGGCAAAGGUUGCAGUGAACUGAGAUUGCGCCACCGCACUCCAGCCUGGGCGACAGAGCGAGACUCCAUCUUUAAAAAAAAACAAGACGGGCCGGCACGGUGGCUCACGCCUGUAAUCCCAGCACUGAGAGGCCGAUCACUUGAGGUCAGGAGUUCAAGACCAGCCUGGCCAACAUGGUGAAACCC